UGAACUUUAACUUGAGCCUGACUCCCCGAAGGCAUAUAUUGCUGCGAGCUGGAUCUAAAAUAUUGGGCUGGGUUAACAAAAGAUCCUUGAAAUCGAACCCGACCAUACUUUUCAAGACCCAAAACUUCAGCAAUAAUUUGAUUAUCAAUGUUGUCAACAUUAAUAGAACUAUCACUCGAAGCAACCGUUUCAUACUCCGCCUUUUUAUCAUUUAGGGCACGUUUGGUUCGCUGUAUUGGAUUAGAGGUAUAUUGGAUUAGAGGUGUAAUGGAAUAGAGGUGUAAUAGCAAAUCAACUGUUUGGUUGAAUGUAAUGGAAUAGAGGCGUAAUAGUAAUCUUGUUUUUGGUUGAAUGGAAUAGAGGUGUAAUAGCAUAAUGGAAAAACUAAAAUGACUAGAAUACCCUUAGCAUAAAUUUGUUUUGGUAAAUGAUUAUUGUUACUGUUAUUUAAAUUUUAAUAAGAUUAUUAUUAUCAAUAAUAAAUAAUUUAAUCAUAUUUAAACAUAAUUAUUAUUAAAUAUAUUUUAAUUAAAAUAUAUAAUUUAAUAAAAUUCUUAAUAAUUAGCAGAAAUUUGUUUUGGUAAAUUAUUAUUGUUAUUGUUAUUUAAAUUUUAAUAAGAUUAUUAAUAUCAAUAAUAAAUAAUUUAAUCAUAUUUAAACAUAAUUAUUAUUAAAUAUAUUAUAAUUAAAAUAUAUAAUUUAAUAAAAUUCUUAAUAAUUAAUAUUCUUAUAUGAAUUUACUCAAAUCAUAAUAUAUGAUACUGUAAAAUAUAAAUUAACAUAAUUAUUAUUAAAUAUAUUAUAAUUAAAAUAUAUAAUUUAAUAAAAUUCUUAAUAAUUAAUAUUCUUAUAUGAAUUUACUCAAAUCAUAAUAUAUGAUACUAUAAAAGAAAAUUUGAAAUAAUUAAUAUUAAAUAUAUUUUAAUUAAAAUAUAUGAUUUAAUAAAAUUUAAAAUAAUUAUAACUAAUAAAUUAUAUUUUAUGAAUUUGUAUAAUUUAAAAUAAUAAUUAUUACAUAUAAUUUAAUAAUAUAUAAUUUCAUAAAAUUCUUGAUAAUAAAUUUUCUUAUAUGAAUUUAUACAAUUUAAAAUAAUUAAUAUUAAAUAUAAUUUAAUAGUGAUAUAUAAUUUCAUAAAAUUCGUAAUAAUAAAAUGUUCUUAUAUGAAUUUACUAAAAUCAAUAUAUAACUUGAGAAUUAUAUUCUGUAUAAACAUAAUUAACUUAUAUUAAGAAAAUGUUAGAUGAAAAUGAAAUUGUACAUCAUAAUCCAUAUGUUAUAUAGUUUUACAACAUCAAAAAGUUUGAAUAUUAAUAUUUAAUGGUGAGAAAGAAAUCUUCUAACCCAUUCCAAUCGGGCAACAGAAGGUAAACUAAAGAAAACGAUCAUUUGAGUUGGAUGAUCGAGAAUUUUACUCAAAGCAUCAUACCGCUGAUCGUCGGUUAAACCUUCAAUUGACCAUAAGACUGAAUAUAAAUUUGAAGCUUUCUCUUCCAUCUUUUGAUGUUCUUCUGACUUCUGCUGAACUACCACCUCGGAGGUAAUACUCCUACUGAUUUGAUCGCCAACGGCCUGGAUUUUUUCCCCCAACAAAGUGGCAGCCUCAUCAAAUAAAGAAUACACAUUAAAUGCAGACGAGCCAUUACUGCAACACAUUAAAAUUAGAACACACUAUCAAAGAAUUGAAGUUGCAAUUACACAAUAUAAAAAAAAAUAAACACCACAAAUUUAGAACACACGAAGCAAAAAAGUAUCUAUUAAAUGAUAUCGUUUAGGGUUUAAUUUCAUUUCUUUAUCAAUCACCCAAACAAUAAUGAAACAAAAUAUAUUUAAAUACAUUUUAAAUAUAUUAAAAUUUAAAGGUAUAUGUAUAAUUGACCUAAAAUUAAUUGUUGGUAUUUGUUAGUUUAUUUAUUGAUGAUUAGUUUAAUUAAGGUAACCUAAGUUUAAAACAAAUAAAAUAAAGAAUGAGGAUUUGGUUUACUAAUGAAAUUGAAGUUUUAAAACUUUUAUAACAUUUUAAAUUUACAUUUCUUUUCGUAUUAAUAUAUUGUUUAGUUAAUUAAAGCAUGUUCAAAGUUUGAACAUGGAUUAGUUUGAACAUUUUAAAUUUAAAUUUAAAUUUAAAUAUAAUUUCGUAUAAUGAAAUGCGAAGAUUUAAUAAAGCAUGUUCAAAGUUUGAUCAUUGAUUAGUUUAUGUAUUGAUGAUUAGUUUAAUUAACUCUUUCUAAUUUUAAAACAAAUAAAAUGAAGAAUGAGGAUUUGGUUUAAUAAUGAAUUUUAAGUUUUAAAACUUUUAUAACAUUUUAAAUUUAAUGAUCAUUUUGUAAAAAUAUAUAUAACUUUUAUCUCAUUUACAUGUACAAAUAAUAAGAUAAAAAGUAGUAUUGUAUUUGCAAUUAUGAUGAGAAAAGAUUGAAAUGUAGUAUUGUAUUUACAUGUACAAAUAAUUGUGAUUUAAGCCCAUUAUUUGUAGGCUUAAAUAACAAUGCAUAUAAGGAAAUAAAAUUAAAACAUUCAUUCAAAAUAAUAAUGAAUUAGUAUGAAAUUGAAAAAAUUGAAGUUAAUGACAUAACAAGAAAUAAAAUAAUUAUUAAAAUCAAGAUAAAAAUAUAAAAAAAUUGCAGAUGAUUUCCAUUGCAACAAUAUCAAAAAACUGUCUGAAUUGAAAACAGUAGACAAUUUCCAUUGCUCACUAUCAAUACGAAUAUUUUAGCAGAGAAAUUUAAAAUCAAUAGACAAUAUCAUCUCAAAACAUAAAGAAAAUCAGAGUGAAACUACAUGUAAAUGAAGAAACAAUCAAGAGAUAGAAAAAUUUAAGUCAAUUAUGUAAUUUUCUUUCUAUUUUCUUUGCACUUACCUAAUUGUUGGUAUAUCUGUGCCAACUCUGCAGCUAAAAACAGCAGGCUCUAAUGUAAUUUUUGCUGCUGUUAUCGAAAUAUCUGACUCUGUUUUGAAGGGGGUAGAAGUAAGUGGUUUCAAUGGGAUGGUUUCAAUGUCUCAUUUUGCAUAUAUUUGCAUAAGUAUUACUAAGGAUAACUAGUAACGAGUGUCAUACUCAAAUUUUGUACCCUUAAUUCUAUAUCAUACUGUUCUGUUCAAGUCUCCUAUUACAGUAAUGAAAGCAGUAUUGACUAAUAAUGGUGAGGAUAUGGAUACCUAGUAACGAGUGUCAGAUACGAAACCAUGACCAGAGAACUUGAUAAACACACAUGUGCUAUUAAGCAGCGUCUUUAUGUGAUUAUGUUUGUAGGAAUUCAGAUUGUUAUUGCUUUGCCUCAUUGCUCAAUGGAUGCUGAUUUUUUCUGAAGUUAUUAAUCUAUUUGUUUUACUUUUGCUUUAAUGGUCACUGAUAAGGUUUCAACUUCUGCAGUUGUACAUUGAAAGAUACCUACAAGCUAUGUAUGACUCAAUGUACAGGCAAGAAUAUAUUCGACUGUGAGUAAUUGAUGACCAGGUAACUGAUUAAGUGAGAAAAUAGAAAUAUCAGUACUGCAACAACAUUUAUUUAUUUGAGAUUUAGAUGGCAGCGAAAGGGGACAUCUAAUUGCUGAGGCAUGUUUCAUAAUUAUAUUAUCACUUCUAACAAAGUGUUCAUCCAAAACAGAACCAUACAAAACAGAAACAACAAAAUCUGCUACAUCAAUCCAAACCUGCAAUCGAGGAAAACAUAUCCCAAGACCAUGAAUACAAAUGUAAAACUAACCUGUAAUGAGCAAAUCGGGACGACUGCGAUGAAGAAACCAAGGAACAAAGAACCUGUAAUGAGAAAAGGGAAAUCGGUUAGUUGAAACGAAACCAUAACCAGCAAAUAAUACAGUCAAACAAAUAAUGAAAAAAAAAUUCAUAACCAGCAAGAAACCCUAUUCCGAUUUACCAAGAAACAGAUGAAACAAUCGCAAUCGGAUUUAUAAAAAAAAUGCAAAAACACCCACUAAUGCAUGCAGAGAGGAAAGAUGCGAAGAAAUAUGCGAAAUAUGCGAAGAUGGAAGUCUGAGACCGUUUAGCAGAGAAAUAUGCGAAGAGGAAAGACGAGAAAUGAUGACCGGCUGAGACCAUUUAGCAGAGAAAUAUGCGAAGAUGGAAGUCAAGAUGGGCUGGAGCUUUCACUGCCAGCUUCUAUCGAUGUCGAUGUUGGGAGGGAGAGGGUGAGUGGAGAUCGGGAGAGGCUUGGGAGGGUAAAAGAUGACCGAUUAGGUAAUCCUUUCUUUUGGAAGGGAGUCCCAAAUCGGCGCUGCUAAGGGAAAAUGGGGAAUUCGUGCAGAACGGGAUACGCCCGUAUUAGGGCAAUACUGCCAACCAAACACGGUAAUAGGUGGGGCCACGGAUUAGGGGUGUAUUGGCUAAUCCAAUACACCCAACCAAACACGCUCUUAAUUUCUCCUAAUAAAUCAAUCAAAGAGUUAGAAACGAAAUAUAUAAUAAAAACAAAUACAACAUAACUUAACAUUAUUUGUAUUACAAACGACGAAUUAAACCAUUAUAAUUAAACACUAUAAAUAUUUAAAAUAAUUCAAAUUUUAUUACGUAAACAUACCAUAAUUUCUGCAGCUUCAGAAGUCAUAGGAGAUCCAUCUUUCUUCCUAUGUGUAAUGUCAAAAAGCUGAAGGCGUCCAACUUUUUGACCAGACGACAAUUUCUACAAUAAAGUAAUAAAAAUAUUAUUUAAUAGAAAGUAAUAAAUAUUUGACACUAUAAAUAAAUUCAAAAUACCUCGACCUCAGCAACACAAGUAAAACUUUUCGACCCAACUGUAUGAGUGAAUUUCUACUUUUUCCUGCUGCUUGUUUCAACUCGUUCACGAUCCUACAUUAUAAAAUUAUUAUUACGUAUAUAGUAAAUACUAUAAACCGAAAUAAUUAUAAGAGCUUGAAAGUACGUAAUACCUCUCAUUUCUUUAAAUUCCAAAAUCUAACCGCAUCUUCUCAUUGGUACCUCAGCGUUCCCGACGGGACAUUUCGCAAUUUCUCUUCGAGGCUUAUAUUUUUCUUAAAAUAUUUUUUAUUUAAAAUACUUUUAUGGUCUCUCCAUCUUUUUCCCAAUGCCUUCUUGACAUAAUUAUCCGAGACCUUUAAAGCAAACUUCUCCUACAAAAAACACAAGUUUAGAAAGUAAAUAUAAAUGAAAUUAAACCAAAGUUUUAUGAAUUACAUUCACAUUUUGUUACCUUAAUAUUAUCGAGAGCUUCAUUUUUUCUACUAUCAGGCAUUUGAUGCCAUUACUCGUAAUUGAUAGGCAACAUAUUGGCAUUUCGUGCUAUAAUGCCCAAAUAUCCUGCUAAAAGUUGAGCUUAUACUCCAACAGGCUGACCAAGAUUGUUUUUAGAUACUUUGACACGCUCGACAGGAUUUAACUCGUAUAAAUCUUUAAGUUGCGUACGUCCUCGACCUCUGCGCGUCCCUCCACAUUCACCUAAAAAAUGGUAUAUUAUAAUAUAAGAAUUUGAAAAAGAAAUCAAUAAUAAAAGUCAACACACAUGUAAAUUAAAUUUAAUAUUACUUUGAAUUUCUGCAGGUUCGUCAGGUGUAUUCGGAACAUUCGAAGAUCCAAUAGCAGUCUGUUGUUCACUAUUUGUUUCUUCCGAACUUGAAGUAUUUUGAUCAAUACUUGGAUCUUGCAAUCUUCUUCUAGGCAUUUUAUCUACAAUACAUAUAAAAUAGUUGAAAUUUUAGUAACUAAUUACAACAAUAAUAGUACAUAUAAAAUAGUUAAAAUAUUUAACAAGACCAAGAUUUAAAUUAUGAUAUUACAUAUAAUUAAAAAAUCGUAAAAUCUUACAACAUACUUUCCAUGUCAUCUUCUUUAACAGACUGAUGGUAAGCACUACGAGGAUAAGCCGGAUUAAUCAUUGAAGGGGUUCUACUAGGUGGGCACUCUCCAUGGAAAAACCAUUUUUUAUACCCCGAAUAAACCAAUCAACAAUUAGAUUUUCGUAGACAACUUCACGAAAAUGCCAAUUGAUGUUGACACACUUAUUACACGGGCAAAGAAUCAUAUUCUCUUGGCUUGCAUUUUGAAAUGCAAAAUUUAGAAAAGUUUGUACUCCAUUUCGAUAGUCGUUGCUUACCCUUGACAAAUUCAUCCAAGUCCAAUCCAUUUCGUAGUUCUUGAAGUCUAAAGUUGACAAUAAAUUACACGAGUAAGUUGUUUAUUUAUAAGUAUAAUUAAGUUAUGUAAAUUAUGAUAUGAUAUAUAUUCAUGUAUUAUGUAAGUUAUGUGAGUUAUGUAAGUUAUGAUAUUUAUUUUAAAAGUUUUAUAUAUCCCUUUGUUCUAAUAUAUUCUACUUUUGAACUUGAUUGUCUAUCUUUUUGCUUUCCGUUCACUAUACAAUUUAAUCUAUGAAAUUUCAAAGAAACAGAAAAGGAUAUAAGUCUAUGCAAUAUAUAUGCCAAAUGAAAUCAAGGAAGGAAAUCAUGAAGUAACAAUGAAGCAAUAGUUUACUUACCACACCAAGAGAAAAGUAAUGAGGUAGUAAACUGUAUUCAGUAGCCCAUAAGACAACACCCGAGAUAUUCGAUAUUGUUUCGAUUUCUUCAGCACACUGAGAUAGCAAAACAAAUUAAAAAAAAAUGUAGUGGACAAUUUAUCAAACAAAGUGCCUUUCAAAUCAAAUUCAAUAUAAACACAAAGUCAGCAAUAUCAAAAACAACAUCAACAGAUGACAUGCAUUAUCCAUUUUCAAAGAGACUGAAACUAAAUAAAGGGUCCAUAUCAGCAGUAACAUAAACAGCUAAAUAUAUGACAUGGGAAAAUAUUCCAUGAACAUAUUAUGUGCUCAAGUACACUAGUUACAGAUUACAAGCCCGUGAGAAAUUUAAACUGUGAGACACACAAAAUGGCAACACAGACCAGUAUUCAGGUUACAAAAUGAACGAAUGCCUGUCGAAGAAAGUUAAAUUAGUGAAUUUAAUCAAAGCAUUAAAGGAUAGUCAUGCAAGAGACAUUAUUUGAGAAACAGUUCAAACAAAGGGAGUCAUAGCUGAUGAAUCAUUUUGCACUCUGCCAACAACAAAGAAAAAGGAAAUCGUUAGGGAUUCAAGCAGCUUAAAGAUUUUAUCUUGGGGGAAAUGCUCAACAUAGUACAGCAAAAAUCAUGCUCAAAGAGAAACAGCCAAUCCAAAUACCAUUAAUUAUACACUACAGAAAGAGAAAUCCCAUUCCUUUCCUCCAUUCCUAUAUUGCAACAUGAACAUGCAUUAAUCAAUCACCAAACCAAAUGCAGAUAUAGGGAAACACAAACAAAAAUCUGAAGAAUCGCACAUUAGUGAAACACAUAAAAACUGUUGAUAACAUCAAAGAACAACAGCUAAUAACAGGAUCAACAACCCCAGAUCUUCUUUUUAUACAAAAAGAUCACCAUUCAGAGCUGAUUCAGAAACAGGAAAGCAACUAAAACAACAAGUCAUACCAAAGAACACAUUUACAUAGUGAAAAAGAAAAUCUGAACUAACAUAAAAGAUCACAGUAAAAAAAAAAACGAUAACAUCCAAGGUACAUACAAGAACCCAAUAAUCAUAAGUAAAAUUCUGAUAUGAUCCCAUAUCUAAAAACAUUAACUUGUUGACAAAACAGGUAGUUAAAGGAACAAAUAACAAGAACAAAGGAAAAAAGAAACGAAAUUUAAGAACCAAAAAGAGGGAGUAAACGAGUAAAAAGAAGGGAGAUUUAAAAUGAUAAACUUAACCUUCCCCAGGGAAGAAGAAAAGUUCUGAAUCGUUAAAAUUAAAUGUGAAAGAAGGAAGCUAAGGAAAUGGGUAGUUAUGUUUUGCAUUGAUUCGUAGCUAUUCCCAAACAAAACAUUUAUAUCCAUCGAAAAAUAACACCAACAUAAACAGGAAAACUAAACAAAAAGAAGCAGCACUUGGUCUUUGAGUUUUGACACUAAAAUCUCAAAAACUGUAUCUAUAAAGAGAGAUUGAAGAGUGGAAGAUGAUACCUGGAUCGAAGAGAUAUUAGGCUUUGUUUUGUUUCAUAUGGAGUGGAGAAAAGAGAAGCAAUCCAGAGAGUAUUUGUUUGUAUGGUGUUUUGGUAUAUAUAAAGGAGAGAGGGGGACCGGGGUAAAGAAAAGUGUUCUUUGUAUAUAUAAUAAAUAAAUUGUAUUUAAAAAAAUAAAUAAAUAAAGGCAUAAUAACUUUUUUAACCUUCCAACUUUAUAAAAAAUUUAUUUUAGUCCUAUAUUUAAUUUUUCAUCUCUUUGAACCAUUAAACUUAUGUUUCUUAUCAAAUUACCUCAAAACGGACUAACUUUUCUAAUGUGGCAUACAUCUGGAUUGUCACGUAGAUGGGAUGUUAGCAUUUAAUUAAUUUUUUAAAAUUUUAAAAAAUUAUAAUUUUAUAUUUUUAAUAAUUUUAAUGGUUUUUAAUUUUUAAAAGUAAUUUUUUAUUUUUUAAAAUUUUAAAAAAAUUAAUUAAAUGUUAACAUGUCAUCACAUGGUAAUUCACGUGUAUGCCGCCACAUCAGCAAAAUUGACAAACGUUAAUUUUUCAUCUAUUUUGGGUGGUUUGACAAAAAAACACAAGUUUAAGAGUUAAAAAGACAAAAAAUUAAAUGGAAGGUUAAAAUAAUUUUUUUUAUAAAGUUAGAGGGCUGAAUAAAUUAUUAUACUAAAAAUAAAUAAAGAAAGAAAAUAUAAAUUUUAAGCUAUUUUCUAGAAAAGUGGGUUGAAUUUGUUUUGUUUUUUUAAAUAAAUCGAUAUUAUGAUGUUUUAUAAAUGUAUCCUAUUUAAAUUUGGAUUUAACUCAAUUAAUUUAUAUAAACAAUUAAUUUUAACAAUUUAAAAUUUUCCAAACACAAAAAAGAAAUAUAGUUAAAUAGUUUUGAAGAAGAAAUAAUGGUUUAUUUAAUCUUUCAACUAAAAAAAGAUUUUUGGUUUCAUUUAAUUUUUUUUUCUUUUUUAACCUUUAAACUUAUGUGAAUUGUUACAUGAAUGUCAUAAUUAAUUUUUUAAAAUUAAUAAAAAAAAUAAAAAAUAUUUUUUUAAUAUUUUUUAAUUUUAAAAAUUAAUUAAUUGUUAACGUGGCACACACGUGAAUGUCACGUCAACAAAGUUAGCAACCGUUAAUUUUUUCUUUCAUUUUCGAGAUGAUUUGACCAACAAUAUAAGUUCAAUAAUUUAAAAGGCAAAAAUCGAAUGGAAUAUUAAAAUAAUUUUUUUAUACAAAAUUAAAAGGUCAAAUAAAUUAUUAUUUCGAACAAAUAAAAAUAACAAUGAAAAAAACAUAAAAUUUAAGACAACACGAGUUCAAACCGACUUAUGAAAUCAUUUAUUAUUCUUAAUCUCUCAAAACAUAAACUGAUUAAGAAGUCAAUGAAGAGCUACCCACUUUUUAAAAGAAACUGUCACUGGUUAGUGGUGUUUCAACGAUGAUAGGCAGUGUCAUCUGUCCAUGAUAACUUGUGAAGACAACAAAUAUACCCACAAAAUAGAUCUAUAAACUUAAAAGAGAGAAGACGCGUGGAGUGAAUGAAAAGGAAAAAGAAAAAGAGGUUUGAUGUGCAAGAGAAAAAGGCUGACGGUAACUAACCCGAAGACCAACAUCACCUCUAGAAAAAAAAACGAUUUAGAAAAAAAAAAAUAGGGUUUUUUCAAUGUUGAGUUUUAUUCAAAGAUUAUUAAUGUGUAUAUAUAUAAUUAAUAAAAACUUAAUUCAAUAAUUAAAACAUUAUUUUUCAUCAAAAUUAUAUAUAUACACAUGUAUAUAAUAAAAAACUAAAUGCUAAUGUUGAUUUUGAAGCAGAUUUUAUUCAUUUAUUUUUUUUAUAAUGCAAAAAAAUCUUAUGAAAUUUAACAUAUUUAUAGCGUCACAAUCCAUAUUUUUCGGGUAAUUUAUAGCUUUAUCAAUUUUCUCUCCUUUGAAGUAGAAAAAUUUUUAAUGGAGAAAGUUACCAAUGUAGGUAUUGCUGAUGUAAUUAAAAUUGUCAAAAUUUUUAAAAAUUAGUCCUUAAUUUUUGAACAAUUAAACUUUCAUAUUUUAUUAUUUAGAAUUUUAAAUUCUCAAAUAAGAUAAAUUAGUCCUAAAACUCAAGUUUUGAAAUUUUUACAAUUUAAUCUCUAUAAUUUCAAACUUUACUAUUUUAUGCUCAACUUUCCAAAUUUUCAUAUUUCAUAAUCAUAUAAUUAAGUUACAAUAUCAAUGUUACAGAUUUCAUUACUCAAACCCUUAGAAUUCAAAAUUUUAUAAAUUUUACAAUUUGACUCUUCAAUUUUUAUCAAAUUAAAUCAUUUUUCAACUUAUUCAUCCAAAUAAUAUUAAUAUUAAAUAUUUACCAGUUUCAACUUAAUUAAAAAUAAACUUGUAGCUAUAAAUUUAUAUUCCAUAAUGUACGGAAUUAACAAUUAAGCUUAAUUAAGUAAAUUAAGAUUAAUUAAAGCUAAAAGAUGAUUAAUGAAAAUAUAAAUAAAUUUUAUGAAAUAAAGUCAAUUAAAUAUUGAAAAGAUAAUAAAAUUUCAAAUGUAUGUUUUCUUCAUUAAAAAUAAUUUUUAUGAAAUAUUUUCAGGAAAUCUAUCAAACAAUUGAAAAUUUUUACAUAAAAUAUUAGUUUUUUUCAGAAAAAUAAUUAUUUUUUAGAAAUUAUUUUUUGAAAACCAUUUUUAAAUAAUCAAACGGAGCGUUGAUGUUCAAUUUUUAGGUGUUUAAAUUUGAUUUUUUGAAGCAAGACAUAUUUUAGUUUAGAUAAAAGGAACUAAUUGUAUUAUGAUGUUGUAAUCCACUACUAGAUGCUCCACAGAGAAGCAAAAGGCCUUGUGUAUUGCCGAAAAAAGGGGACUCUAUGUAUGUUUUUCAUUAUACAUAACCAAAGUUGUAAUCGGCUUUUUCGUUAAGUCGAGGCAAACUGGAAAGCAUUUUCAGUACUACAUAGAUCAAAUUAAUUGGGCAGUUUGAGAGCUUAUGCUGGUUUGAUAUUAGAUGUUUUUCUUUUCCCAAAAAUCAUUUUCAACAUCAUUGUAGCAAAAUAGGCUUUGUGAAAACAUCGCAAAAAAUGAAGCUAUAGACAACGUCGCUAAAUUUUACAGCGUUUUUUUCACAUAAACGGCGUUAUAGAAUAUGACCUUUAACGGUGCUUUUCUCACAAUCACCGCUAAAGAACAUGACAUUUAGCGGCGCUUUUAUCACAAAUGUCGCUAAAGAACAUGACCUUAAGCGGCGCUUUUAUCACAAACGCCGCUAAAGAACAUGACCUUUAGCAGCGCUUUUUUCUCAAACACCACAAAAAGUAUCGUUCUUUAGCGGCAUUUUAAAAAAAAUGUCACUAACUUUGGUAGAUUUGUAACAUUCAAUUUUCAUCCAUAUACAACCCCUUCCAGUAGCAUGAAAUCUAAUUAAAAACAGCAAAUCUAAAUGAUACUUCAAAUUCAAAAUAUAUAUGAUAUAAAGUGAUAACUAAAGUAUAAUUCAAAAUAUUCUUACAAUAAUGUUAAAAGAUACAAUGUUAAAAAUAUUCUUACAAUAAGAAAACAAAUGUCUAAGAUGGCGAAUUUUGCGACUGUUGAAACAUCUUCAUCAUAUUCUGAAGCUGUAGCUGGAGUACGUCGUACUUUCUGUUCUGCUCUGCUUCCCUCGCUGUUGCCUCCGCUUUAAGUUUAUCAAAGUUCGAUUGCAUCUGAGACAUCUGGUCUCUUAACCGCUGAACUUCAACUUGAGCUUGACUCCCCAAAGGCAUGGAUUGCUGCGAGCUGGAUCCAAAAUAUUGGGUUGGGUUAACAAAAGAUCCUUGAAAUCGAACCCGACCAUGCCUCUCAGGACCCAAAACUUCAGUAAUAAUCCGAUUAUCAAUGUCGUCAACAUUAACAGAACUAUCACUCGAAGCAACCGCUUUAUACUCCGCCUUUUUAUCCUUUAGUUUCUCC
RNAcentral lists this long non-coding RNA (11847 nucleotides) under Gossypium barbadense (sea-island cotton). RNAcentral describes it as "long non-coding RNA (GBAR_LNC016707)". Lineage: Eukaryota; Viridiplantae; Streptophyta; Magnoliopsida; Malvales; Malvaceae. The record is from RNAcentral.